ACCUGUCUGAACCCCCUUAGUGCCCCACGGAAAAGAGGUCUGCACAAUGCCAUAAUGUUCAAUCCGAUUUUAUUUUAUUUACCCCUUUUCCCGUCCCUCCUUUUCUGACAACCACCUUCUUUCUCAUAGCUGGGAAGAUGCUGGGCUUUAGAUGUCUUCAUUCAAUAAAGAAUGCAAGGAGCUGUCCAAUCGAACUGAAUGCUGUGGAGGAACGCUGCUGUUCCAGAUGCUGAUGAAGCACAAGUCUGUCAUUCCUUGCUGUGGGUCAUGGAACAUCUGGGGAGGUGCUGCCUGACUGGCUCCGAAGCUGCUCGAGGAAGCACCUGUUGCUUCCUACAUUUUAUGCUCUUCACAAGCCUGUGAGGUAAGUCGGCUAAGAGGCAGGAAGUGGCCCU
This 395-nucleotide long non-coding RNA is filed under the name Salvator merianae (Argentine black and white tegu). RNAcentral's name for it is "lncRNA (ENSSMRG00000022741.1)". The record is from RNAcentral. Lineage: Eukaryota; Metazoa; Chordata; Lepidosauria; Squamata; Teiidae.